This 396-nucleotide ribosomal RNA is filed under the name uncultured bacterium. RNAcentral describes it as "partial 16S ribosomal RNA". It matches the Rfam family "Bacterial small subunit ribosomal RNA", at positions 523 to 918 of the family's 1533-position model. The record is from RNAcentral.
AUACGUAGGUGGCAAGCGUUGUCCGGAAUUAUUGGGCGUAAAGCGCAUGUAGGCGGUUUGGUAAGUCGGUCGUGAAAAUGCGGUGCUUAACGCCGUAUGGCGAUUGAAACUGCUGAACUUGAGUGCAGGAGAGGAAAGGGGAACUCCCAGUGUAGCGGUGAAAUGCGUAGAUAUUGGGAAGAACACCGGUGGCGAAGGCGCCUUUCUGGACUGUGUCUGACGCUCAGAUGCGAAAGCCAGGGUAGCGAACGGGAUUAGAUACCCCGGUAAUCCUGGCCGUAAACGAUGGGUACUAGGUGUGGGAGGUAUCGACUCCUUCCGUGCCGGAGUUAACGCAAUAAGUACCCCGCCUGGGGAGUACGGCCGCAAGGCUUAAACUCAAAUGAAUUGACGGGG